AGCGAACGUUUGCGGCGGGCCUAACACAUGCAAGUCGAACGCACUAGCAAUAGUGAGUGGCGCACGGGUGCGUAACACGUGGGUAAUCAACCCUUCAGCCUGGGAUAACGACUCGAAAGGGUCGCUAAUACCGGAUACGGCGCGAGAGGCUUCGGCUUCUCACGAGAAAGCCACGCAAGGGGCACUGAAGGACGAGCCUGCGGCCCAUCAGCUAGUUGGUGAGGUAAGAGCUCACCAAGGCUAAGACGGGUAGCUGGUCUGAGAGGAUGAUCAGCCACACUGGAACUGAGACACGGUCCAGACUCCUACGGGAGGCAACAGUGGGGAAUAUUGCGCAAUGGGCGAAAGCCUGACGCAGCCACGCCGCGUGAGCGAUGAAGGCCUCGGUC
RNAcentral lists this ribosomal RNA (389 nucleotides) under uncultured bacterium. Its description in RNAcentral is "bacterial SSU rRNA". It matches the Rfam family "Bacterial small subunit ribosomal RNA", at positions 29 to 424 of the family's 1533-position model. The record is from RNAcentral.